This 586-nucleotide ribosomal RNA is filed under the name Cystobasidium minutum. RNAcentral describes it as "partial large subunit ribosomal RNA". It matches the Rfam family "Eukaryotic large subunit ribosomal RNA", at positions 65 to 652 of the family's 3401-position model. The record is from RNAcentral. Lineage: Eukaryota; Fungi; Basidiomycota; Cystobasidiomycetes; Cystobasidiales; Cystobasidiaceae. RNAcentral also lists the same sequence under 1 other name.
CCAACAGGGAUUGCCUCAGUAACGGCGAGUGAAGCGGCAAAAGCUCAAAUUUGAAAUCUGGCGCCCUUCUUGGGUGUCCGAGUUGUAAUUUGAAGAUGGCAACUGUGGGGCUGGCCUUUAUCUAUGUUCCUUGGAACAGGACGUCACAGAGGGUGAGAAUCCCGUCUGAUGAGGUGACCCAGCUCUUUGUACAGUGCCUUCGACGAGUCGAGUUGUUUGGGAAUGCAGCUCUAAGUGGGUGGUAAAUUCCAUCUAAAGCUAAAUAUUGGCGAGAGACCGAUAGCGAACAAGUACAGUGAUGGAAAGAUGAAAAGAACUUUGAAAAGAGAGUGAAAAAGUACGUGAAAUUGUUGAAAGGGAAGGGUAUUAGAUCAGACUUGGCGUGCGGUUGAUUAGCUUCCCCUCGUGGGUUGUGUACUCGGCGUGCGCUGGGCCAGCAUCGAUUCGGUGCGGCAGGAUAAUGGUGUUGGGAACGUGGCAGUUGUCUUUGGCAGCUGUGUUAUAGCCCUUCGCAGAUGCUGCCAGCCUGGAUCGAGGACUGCGUCUUUUGACUAGGAUGCUGGCGUAAUGAUCUAAUAUCGCCCGU